RNAcentral lists this ribosomal RNA (253 nucleotides) under uncultured bacterium. RNAcentral describes it as "partial 16S ribosomal RNA". It matches the Rfam family "Bacterial small subunit ribosomal RNA", at positions 524 to 776 of the family's 1533-position model. The record is from RNAcentral.
UACAGAGGGUGCGAGCGUUGUCCGGAAUCACUGGGCGUAAAGGGCGCGUAGGCGGUCUGUUGCGUCCGCUGUGAAAACUCGGGGCUUAACCCCGAGCCUGCAGUGGAUACGGGCAGACUAGAGGUAGGUAGGGGAGAAUGGAAUUCCUGGUGUAGCGGUGAAAUGCGCAGAUAUCAGGAGGAACACCGGUGGCGAAGGCGGGUCUCUGGGCCGAUACUGACGCUGAGGAGCGAAAGCGUGGGGAGCGAACAGG